UAGCUCAGUCGGUAGAACAUGAGACUCUUAAUCUCAGGGUCGUGGGUUCUGUCCCCAU
This 58-nucleotide transfer RNA is filed under the name Mesocricetus auratus (golden hamster). It matches the Rfam family "tRNA", at positions 8 to 63 of the family's 71-position model. Rfam says of the family: Transfer RNA (tRNA) molecules are approximately 80 nucleotides in length. Their secondary structure includes four short double-helical elements and three loops (D, anti-codon, and T loops). The record is from Rfam by way of RNAcentral. Lineage: Eukaryota; Metazoa; Chordata; Mammalia; Rodentia; Cricetidae.